This 253-nucleotide ribosomal RNA is filed under the name uncultured bacterium. Its description in RNAcentral is "partial 16S ribosomal RNA". It matches the Rfam family "Bacterial small subunit ribosomal RNA", at positions 524 to 776 of the family's 1533-position model. The record is from RNAcentral.
UACGGAGGGUGCAAGCGUUAUCCGGAUUUACUGGGUUUAAAGGGUGUGUAGGCGGACUUUUAAGUCAGCGGUGAAAUCUCCGGGCUCAACCCGGAAACUGCCAUUGAUACUAUUGGUCUUGAAUGUUGUUGAGGUGGGCGGAUCGGGUCAUGUAGCGGUGAAAUGCAUAGAUAUGACCCGGAACACCGAUUGCGAAGGCAGCCCACUAAGCAAUGAUUGACGCUGAGGCACGAAAGCGUGGGGAUCAAACAGG